This 110-nucleotide ribosomal RNA is filed under the name Ichthyophonus hoferi. Its description in RNAcentral is "5.8S ribosomal RNA". It matches the Rfam family "5.8S ribosomal RNA", at positions 1 to 108 of the family's 154-position model. From Rfam's summary of the family: 5.8S ribosomal RNA (5.8S rRNA) is a component of the large subunit of the eukaryotic ribosome. It is transcribed by RNA polymerase I as part of the 45S precursor that also contains 18S and 28S rRNA. The record is from RNAcentral. Lineage: Eukaryota; Ichthyosporea; Ichthyophonida; Ichthyophonidae.
ACAACUUUUAACGGUGGAUCUCUAGGCUCGUGCAUCGAUGAAGAACGCAGCGAAAUGCGAUACGUAGUGUGAAUUGCAGAUCUUCGUGAAUCAUCGAAUCUUUGAACGCA